ACUCCGAUUGCGAAGGCAGCUUGCUGGACUGUAACUGACGCUGAGNCACGAAAGCGUGGGGAUCAAACAGGAUUAGAUACCCUGGUAGUCCACGCCGUAAACGAUGAAUGCUAGCUGUUAGCGAUAUACUGUUAGCGGCACAGAGAAGUCGUUAAGCAUUCCACCUGGGGAGUACGCCGGCAACGGUGAAACUCAAAGGAAUUGACGGGGGCCCGCACAAGCGGAGGAACAUGUGGUUUAAUUCGAUGAUACGCGAGGAACCUUACCUGGGCUUAAAUUGCAGUGGAAUAACGUGGAAACAUGUUAGCCUUCGGGCCGCUGUGAAGGUGCUGCAUGGUUGUCGUCAGCUCGUGCCGUGAGGUGUCGGCUUAAGUGCCAUAACGAGCGCAACCCUCAUCGAUAGUUACUAACAGGUUAAGCUGAGGACUCUAUCGAGACUGCCGACGUAAGUCGUGAGGAAGGUGGGGAUGACGUCAAAUCAGCACGGCCCUUACGUCCAGGGCUACACACGUGUUACAAUGGGGGGUACAAAGGGCAGCUACCUGGCGACAGGAUGCUAAUCUCAAAAACCUCUCUCAGUUCGGAUUGGAGUCUGCAACCCGACUCCAUGAAGCUGGAUUCGCUAGUAAUCGCGCAUCAGCCACGGCGCGGUGAAUACGUUCCCGGGCCUUGUACACACCGCCCGUCAAGCCAUGGGAGCCGGGGGGACCUGAAGUAUGCAACCGUAAGGAGCGUCCUAGGGUAAAACUGGUGACUGGGGCU
This 762-nucleotide ribosomal RNA is filed under the name uncultured prokaryote. Its description in RNAcentral is "bacterial SSU rRNA". It matches the Rfam family "Bacterial small subunit ribosomal RNA", at positions 706 to 1482 of the family's 1533-position model. The record is from RNAcentral.